RNAcentral lists this ribosomal RNA (467 nucleotides) under uncultured bacterium. Its description in RNAcentral is "partial 16S ribosomal RNA". It matches the Rfam family "Bacterial small subunit ribosomal RNA", at positions 28 to 507 of the family's 1533-position model. The record is from RNAcentral.
GACGAACGCUGGCGGCGUGCUUAACACAUGCAAGUCGAACGGAAAGGCCCUGCUUUUGUGGGGUGCUCGAGUGCGAACGGGUGAGUAACACGUGAGUAACCUGCCCUUGACUUUGGGAUAACUUCAGGAAACUGGGGCUAAUACCGGAUAGGAGCUCCUGCUGCAUGGUGGGGGUUGGAAAGUUUCGGCGGUUGGGGAUGGACUCGCGGCUUAUCAGCUUGUUGGUGGGGUAGUGGCUUACCAAGGCUUUGGCGGGUAGCCGGCCUGAGAGGGUGACCGGCCACAUUGGGACUGAGAUACGGCCCAGACUCCUACGGGAGGCAGCAGUGGGGAAUAUUGCACAAUGGGCGGAAGCCUGAUGCAGCAACGCCGCGUGCGGGAUGACGGCCUUCGGGUUGUAAACCGCUUUCGCCUGUGACGAAGCGUGAGUGACGGUAAUGGGUAAAGAAGCACCGGCUAACUACGUG